UUACUUAUAUGUAUACUUAAAAAUUAGUUUAAAUUAUCGACAGUAUCAUUUCAUUUUGUAUGUUCAUUGUAAUGUCGAAAUAUAGUGAAGUUGCCAUUAAUCCAAACAGAGUGCACAAUUAAUUAAGUCAGGUAUCCACAUGGAAGGUCGAGUAGAUGUACACGUUGCAAGAAUUUUUAGAAGAAUUCGACAAAUAAUCGCUGAUGCUAAAAAGGUCGUCUAAUCAUUCAAUUAAAUGAAGGGCAACUGGCAUUAUUAUACAAUGAAAAAUAUACUGCUACUAGCAUGGCAAACCAUUUGAGAGUCUCCACGACAGCUAUGGUUAGAAGGCAUAUUAGCAAAUUAUAAUACGCCUUCUACAGCAAUACGUGAUAUUUUUGAUAUCAAUACGACUUUACAUGAACGACUUUUUGAGUCAAUACAAAGGUUAGGAAUUGAUCUUCCUGCGCCUAUUAUAAAUAAUAGUAAUAUGAAUAUUCCUAUUUCGUCUUUUACUGCAUUAUUAGAAUUAAAUGAAGAACAAAAGUUGUAUCUAGAGAAUAUUAGUAAUUCUGAAGGAAAAUCUAAUAUAGAGAAAU
Long non-coding RNA from Wasmannia auropunctata (little fire ant), 578 nucleotides. RefSeq lists it as uncharacterized. The transcript has 3 exons. NCBI's taxonomy places the organism in Eukaryota, Metazoa, Arthropoda, Insecta, Hymenoptera, Formicidae. The record is from RefSeq and is a predicted model, not a curated record.